UAGUCCACGCCGUAAACGAUGGACACUAGUUGUUGGAAUUAUUCAGUGACUAAGCGAAAGUGAUAAGUGUCCCACCUGGGGAGUACGAUCGCAAGAUUGAAACCCAAAGGAAUUGACGGGGGCCCGCACAAGCGGUGGAGCAUGUGGUUUAAUUCGAUGAUACGCGAGGAACCUUACCAGGGCUUAAAUGUAGUGGGACAGGUCUAUAGAUAGACCCUUCUUCGGACUCAUUACAAGGUGCUGCAUGGUUGUCGUCAGCUCGUGCCGUGAGGUGUCAGGUUAAGUCCUAUAACGAGCGCAACCCUUGUCGUUAGUUGCCAGCAAGUAAAGUUGGGGACUCUAGCGAGACUGCCGGUGCAAACCGAGAGGAAGGUGGGGAUGACGUCAAAUCAUCACGGCCCUUACGUCCUGGGCUACACGCGUGCUACAAUGGUAUGGACAAUGAGCAGCCACUAUGCGAAUAGGAGCGAAUCUACAAACCAUAUCACAGUUCGGAUCGGAGU
RNAcentral lists this ribosomal RNA (503 nucleotides) under uncultured bacterium. RNAcentral describes it as "bacterial SSU rRNA". It matches the Rfam family "Bacterial small subunit ribosomal RNA", at positions 791 to 1304 of the family's 1533-position model. The record is from RNAcentral.